GACAGACAAAACACUUCUGACACCCAUUCUGGGUAGGAUAACACUUAAAUAUGAGGAGGAAAUACAAUGCUGCUCACUCCCCCAAGUGCAAGCUAAUUUUAAAGUUAAUACUAAAGCAUCUACAUUUCUGACAAGUCUAAGAUUUCUGAGACCAGAGCAACAAAAGACAGUCAAAUGCAAACUAAAGCACAGACCUCUCUUAAACCCAGAGAGACAAGAUAAGCCUUUGCUGCCUGGCAGCAUUUCAGAGACAUUAAGUGUAAGAGAGAAG
Long non-coding RNA from Empidonax traillii (willow flycatcher), 271 nucleotides. RefSeq lists it as uncharacterized. The transcript has 3 exons. The record is from RefSeq and is a predicted model, not a curated record. NCBI's taxonomy places the organism in Eukaryota, Metazoa, Chordata, Aves, Passeriformes, Tyrannidae.